GCCCAGCCGUAAACUUUUACUUACAUCCAUAUUGCCCGGGAACUACGAGCUAAGCUUAAAACCCAAAGGACUUGACGGUACCCCAUAUCCCCCUAGAGGAGCCUGUCCUAUAAUCGAUAAUCCACGUCUAACCUCACCAUUUUUAGUUAGUCAGCCUGUAUACCUCCGUCGUCAGCUUACCACGUGAGCGCCAAUUAGUGAGCCUAAUGAUAUUUCACCAAUACGUCAGGUCAAGGUGCAGCAAAUAAAAUGGGAAGAGAUGGGCUACACUUUCUACUCAUAGAAGAAACGAAAAACUACUUAUGAAACCUAGUUGGAAGGCGGAUUUAGCAGUAAAAAGGAACUAGCAUGUCCAUUUUAACUCGGCACUGGGGUGU
Molecule: ribosomal RNA, 377 nt
Filed under: Vandijkophrynus inyangae (Inyanga toad)
Lineage: Eukaryota; Metazoa; Chordata; Amphibia; Anura; Bufonidae
Description: partial 12S ribosomal RNA
Rfam family: Bacterial small subunit ribosomal RNA
Source: RNAcentral